Molecule: ribosomal RNA, 562 nt
Filed under: uncultured Glomus
Lineage: Eukaryota; Fungi; Glomeromycota; Glomeromycetes; Glomerales; Glomeraceae
Description: eukaryotic LSU rRNA
Rfam family: 5.8S ribosomal RNA (bases 156-309)
Source: RNAcentral
GGAAGUAAAAGUCGUAACAAGGUUUCCGUAGGUGAACCUGCGGAAGGAUCAUUACUGAUUUAGCGAACCGAGCGUUAGCGAGGUUUUGCGAUCAAUUUAUAUUUAAAACCCACUCUUUAAUGUAUAAAAUUUGUAUUAAUGAUAAAUUAAAAGAUCACUUUCAACAACGGAUCUCUUGGCUCUCGCAUCGAUGAAGAACGUAGCGAAGUGCGAUAAGUAAUGUGAAUUGCAGUAUUCCGUGAAUCAUCGAAUCUUUGAACGCAUAUUGCACUUUCUGGUAUUCCGGAAAGUAUGCCUGUUUGAGGGUCAGUUAAAUAAAAAUCGGUGUUGUUGCUGCCUUUCGUGGUGACGCGUCGGAAUUGAGUUGUCUUACCUUCGGUUAAGUGACCUAAAAUUUUGUAUGAUUUUUACAAACGUAUUUAAAAUAUUUUUGUACGUUUUUGUAAUAUUCAGUUUUAUUAGAUGUGGUCAUUUUUAUGGUUCGCGUCUAUAAUUUCUCAUCUAUUGACCUCAAAUCAGGUAAGAAUACCCGCUGAACUUAAGCAUAUCAAUAAGCGGAGGA